CUACGGGAGGCAGCAGUGGGGAAUAUUGGACAAUGGGCGAAAGCCUGAUCCAGCCAUGCCGCGUGUGUGAAGAAGGCCUUCGGGUUGUAAAGCACUUUCAGUGGGGAAGAAAGCCUUGGGGCUAAUACCCUCGAGGAAGGACAUCACCCACAGAAGAAGCACCGGCUAACUCCGUGCCAGCAGCCGCGGUAAUACGGAGGGUGCGAGCGUUAAUCGGAAUUACUGGGCGUAAAGCGCGCGUAGGCGGUCUGAUAAGCCGGUUGUGAAAGCCCCGGGCUCAACCUGGGAACGGCAUCCGGAACUGUCAGGCUAGAGUGCAGGAGAGGAAGGUAGAAUUCCCGGUGUAGCGGUGAAAUGCGUAGAGAUCGGGAGGAAAACCAGUGGCGAAGGCGGCCUUCUGGACUGACACUGACGCUGAGGUGCGAAAGCGUGGGUAGCAAACAGGAUUAGAUACCCUAGUAGUC
Molecule: ribosomal RNA, 464 nt
Filed under: Vreelandella stevensii
Lineage: Bacteria; Pseudomonadati; Pseudomonadota; Gammaproteobacteria; Oceanospirillales; Halomonadaceae
Description: partial 16S ribosomal RNA
Rfam family: Bacterial small subunit ribosomal RNA
Source: RNAcentral